CGACGAUGGAUAGGGGUUCUGAGAGGAAGGUCCCCCACAUUGGUACUGAGACACGGACCAAACUCCUACGGGAGGCAGCAGUGAGGAAUAUUGGUCAAUGGGCGUAAGCCUGAACCAGCCAAGUCGCGUGAGGGAUGAAGGUUCUAUGGAUCGUAAACCUCUUUUAUAAGGGAAUAAAGUGUGGGACGUGUCCUAUUUUGUAUGUACCUUAUGAAUAAGGAUCGGCUAACUCCGUGCCAGCAGCCGCGGUAAUACGGAGGAUCCGAGCGUUAUCCGGAUUUAUUGGGUUUAAAGGGUGCGUAGGCGGCCUUUUAAGUCAGCGGUGAAAGUCUGUGGCUCAACCAUAGAAUUGCCGUUGAAACUGGGGGGCUUGAGUAUGUUUGAGGCAGGCGGAAUGCGUGGUGUAGCGGUGAAAUGCUUAGAUAUCACGCAGAACCCCGAUUGCGAAGGCAGCCUGCCAAGCCAUGACUGACGCUGAUGCACGAAAGCGUGGGGAUCAAACAGGAUUAGAUACCCUGGUAGUCCACGCAGUAAACGAUGAUCACUAGCUGUUUGCGAUACAGUGUAA
RNAcentral lists this ribosomal RNA (568 nucleotides) under uncultured bacterium. RNAcentral's name for it is "bacterial SSU rRNA". It matches the Rfam family "Bacterial small subunit ribosomal RNA", at positions 274 to 842 of the family's 1533-position model. The record is from RNAcentral.